Cyprinus carpio (common carp) is the source of this 610-nucleotide long non-coding RNA. RefSeq lists it as uncharacterized. Lineage: Eukaryota; Metazoa; Chordata; Actinopteri; Cypriniformes; Cyprinidae. The transcript has 3 exons. The record is from RefSeq and is a predicted model, not a curated record.
GGCACGAUCAAGCCCCGGAAGUGACAGGGGAAACGCGACAGGCCCUUCUUCUUCUUCUUCUUCUCUAGUAUUAAUGGCGGGCGCGACAGGCCCUGGCACGCACGCCCGCUUUAAGCCCGACAGUGGAAACGCGGCUAUUAACUCCACUGGCCUCGCUCCGUUCCCACGGCUCUCGGCCCCGCCCCUCUCGGCACAAAGGUUAAUCCAGACAAUUGCUGAAAAUUGGUGAUUUUGAGGUGAAAUUAGGCACGCAGCACUCUGGGAUUUGACAUAAACAUAGUUACAAGCUGUUCGCUUUCUUUUUCCAUGGCCCGUCUGUCUGGAUAAUCUUGUUACGUUUCGUUUUUCCAGAGGGACAAAUUCUGCUUGCUCGAACGAGCUGUGGCCCAGUCUGGAGGUCAAGGCUAUAGUGGAGAGGAGGGGGGCUGCUCUGUCAGAGAUAAGAGAGCAGAGAAUGAUGUGGCCAAAUGGCAUGGAGAGAGAAUUGGCGGAAUUAUCUGAUAUUCCCAGGAUUUAAACUUGACUGCGAAUGCCAUCCAGCACCAAACAAGAUUCUAUUCUUUCUCUCUGAAAGGAUUUAUAAAUUGUCAACCUUUUAUUUUUUUAAUUU